Serinus canaria (Common canary) is the source of this 801-nucleotide long non-coding RNA. RefSeq lists it as uncharacterized. The transcript is spliced from 3 exons. The record is from RefSeq and is a predicted model, not a curated record. NCBI's taxonomy places the organism in Eukaryota, Metazoa, Chordata, Aves, Passeriformes, Fringillidae.
UCGGGGGGUCUGGGGGUCUCGGGGGUCUCUGGGGGUCUCCAUGGGGUGCCAGGCUGGGGACACAAAGUGGUGACAUGUGACAGGAGGAGGUGGCCGUGAGGUGUGGCAGGAAUGGGGGGGUGGGGUCUGCAGGGGUCCCCCCCUCCCCUCCCCUCCCGUGUCCCUCAGGGUGGGGGUCCCCAGGGGGUGGCUCCAGUGGCAGGGUUGGGGUCCCCCCCUUGACCCCCGAUGUCCCCAGCCCGGGGGGUCCCGGGGCGGGUUUGGGGUCCCAGGGUGGGUUUGAGGUCCCGGGGUGGGUUUGGGGUCCCCGGGUCACGUUUGGGGUGUCCCCCCGACCCCCCCUCCCUGUCUCCAGCCCUGAGGGUCCCGGGGUGAGUUUGGGGGUCCUGGGUCAGAUUUGGGGUCCCGGGGCAGGUUUGGGGUCCCAGGACAGGUUUGGGGUCCUGGGUCAGGUUUGGGGUGUCCCCCCUGACCCCCCCCUGACCCCCCCCUGACCCCCCCAUCCCUGUCCCCAGCCCGGAGGGGUCCCCGGGUCAGGUUUGGGGUCCCGGGGCAGGUUUGGGGUCCCCGGGUCAGGUUUGGGGUCCCGGGGCAGGUUUGGGGUCCCCGGGUCAGGUUUGGGUCCCAGGACAGAUUUGGGGUCCCGGGGCAGGUUUGGGGUCCUGGGGCGGGUUUGGGGUCCCGGGGUGGAUUUGGGGUCCCGGGUCAGGUUUGGGGUGUCCCCCGUGACCCCCCCCCCAUCCCUGUCCCCAGUCCGGGGGGUCCCAGGGCGGGUUGGGGUCCCGGGUCAGGUUUGGGGUC